UACGGGGGGGGCAAGCGUUGUUCGGAAUUACUGGGCGUAAAGGGCUCGUAGGCGGCCAACUAAGUCCGACGUGAAAUCCCCAGGCUUAACCUGGGAACUGCGUCGGAUACUGGAUGGCUUGAAUUCGGGAGAGGGAUGCAGAAUUCCAGGUGUAGCGGUGAAAUGCGUAGAGAUGUGGAGGAAUACCGAUGGCGAAGGCAGCCCCCUGGGAUAACACUGACGCUCAUGCACGAAAGCGUGGGGAGCAAACAGG
This 253-nucleotide ribosomal RNA is filed under the name uncultured bacterium. RNAcentral's name for it is "partial 16S ribosomal RNA". It matches the Rfam family "Bacterial small subunit ribosomal RNA", at positions 524 to 776 of the family's 1533-position model. The record is from RNAcentral.